UUUUUCUUUAUUUUUGAAUCAAGUACUUAACUCAAAAAGAAGAAAUUUCAAAGUUAAAGAUAUUAGGCACAUUCAGUAAAUGAUUUCAUGAAUGACCUAAAAUCUGAAUUUGCUAAACUAUUACAUCUCAUGGUUUGCUGUCUUUUUCCGUUUCAAAUAUUAAACACAAAUCAAAAUCGAGGUAAGAUUCAGUUUCCUAAUCUUUGCAAUCAUGGUGUUACCAUUAUUUAUUUAAAUCUAUUUAAAGAAUAUGCAAGACAAGAGAGGCGAAAACAAGGCUGAACUCUUUAGAAAUCACUGUCAACUGAAUGCAUUAGAGUCGAUGGCCAACCACAUAACUGAGGUCUCCAAAUCAACUUCAAUGUAGAAUAAAAUGCUUAUUAAAGGUAAGUAAUAGGAGUUCCCGUCGUGGCGCACCACGACGGGAACCCCCGCCCCAAUUUUUCUUAAUGAGGAUGGAUGACUUCCCUUCUAUCCAAUAGUUCUCAUGAAAAAGUGGUUUAGAAAGUCCUUCUUUCAAGAAGACUUCUUGGUCCUCAGAUUUUGACCACAAGACAGUUCUGACUGUCCUCAGAUACCAAUGCUGAAUUUAUAUGUCAACCCUCAUAAUCUUGGUCUCUAAAGUCAUAUGUGCUGCAAAUAGAUGUAUUGUUUUCGACUGUGAACAAAUAAUUACUUAAAUUGAUCUCCAUUAGGUGUUGCAAGGAAUUCAUUAAAUGACCACAAUAAUGAGGCCCAUGUAAGAUGCUGUUAUGAGAAAUGAUUUUUAUUAUCCUGUAUUUAGCAGUAAGGAGAUUUUAAUUCCAACUCUUCUCUCAACACUUCCUAUAUUUUUCACACGUGUCAGAAUAAGGAUCCCCUUUUUUGGAGUAUAAAGAAAUAUUCUUUUCAGAACCUAUAUAACCACUUGAUAUUUACCUUACCAGCUUCUUCUAGUGCUUUUUCUUCUAGUGCCUUCCUUCUGCCCUUUGAAUGUGCCAUAACCUUCCUGAUGGAAGGUCUGGCAGCCAGUUUCUCUGAUUGAUUCUUUAUAAUUUACAUCAGGGCUCAGAUGACCAUUGUCUCAGAGUCUCUGACAUCUUGAAAGCAUCUGUUCUUCUCUUUAUAUGUUCACCUGGUGACCUUCAUAGAAUUGAAAAUAUCUGAAUAAGCACUCCAGUGAUUAAUUUGAUAAUAUAACUUUUCCUGUUGGAAUGUAAACGCCAUGAGGUCUGUGGUCUUAUCCACAGCUGCAAUGGCAGCACCUAGCAUACAGGAGGUUCAAUAAAUGGGGUUACAAUAUGACUGACAGAGUGAAUUCCUUGAAGAUAGUGAUAAUUUACUAACCACCUGGAGGAUGACACUGGAUUCUCUGAUGAUUACAUUCUGGGAGUGUUGACACAAUUUGUAAAAACUAAACUAUACAAUUUCCAAUUCUGUUUCAGUGUAACAAUAUCCUCUUCAACUUCUCUAAUAGUGAACUUACUUUCAAAUCCAGGGUUAAAGAAAUAACGUAUUGGACAAAAUCAUGACUCCUUAUUAAUGAUUCCUUAAUUUUUCCUCUACGUUGCAGUGGAUAGAUUAUACAAUGAAGGAUCUUUUCAAUGAAGCUGAAGUUUGCCUUGCAUAAUAAGUCCUUUAGUGAAGAUAAAAUUUAGUCAUCAGACAUAUUCAGAAGCAUUGAACCAAAUCUCUAUGGAAAUGGGAUUUCUUCGGGGCAAAAUAUUUAUACAUGACAU
RNAcentral lists this long non-coding RNA (1718 nucleotides) under Sus scrofa (pig). Its description in RNAcentral is "lncRNA (ENSSSCG00030009903.1, ENSSSCG00040026304.1)". Lineage: Eukaryota; Metazoa; Chordata; Mammalia; Artiodactyla; Suidae. The record is from RNAcentral.